GUGAUUAUAGUCUAACAAAAACAUUAGAUUGUGGUUCUAAAAACAAAAAGUUAAAAUCUUUUUAACCACC
RNAcentral lists this transfer RNA (70 nucleotides) under Squatina nebulosa (clouded angelshark). Its description in RNAcentral is "tRNA-His". It matches the Rfam family "tRNA". Rfam says of the family: Transfer RNA (tRNA) molecules are approximately 80 nucleotides in length. The record is from RNAcentral. Lineage: Eukaryota; Metazoa; Chordata; Chondrichthyes; Squatinidae.